This is a long non-coding RNA of Rosa rugosa (rugosa rose), 2460 nucleotides long. RefSeq lists it as uncharacterized. Lineage: Eukaryota; Viridiplantae; Streptophyta; Magnoliopsida; Rosales; Rosaceae. The transcript is spliced from 3 exons. The record is from RefSeq and is a predicted model, not a curated record.
UUCAAGUUAAUUUCCGAUGACGUUUUGGAAAUGAUUUCGUGGUCGUGGACACGAGUACGAAGCUUAGAGGAGUGUGGAAUUAGUUCGAACGAUUUUAUUUUGAAAACUGAACGUUUUAGGGGGGUCAAAGGAGUUGACUUUUUAUACAUUGGGAAAUUGGGAAAACUUCCUUCAUGAAAGUUGUAGAGCGCGUCGAUACGAGUUCGUGGACAUAUGGAACGUAAUAUUCGGAGUUCGUAUGAAUAAGUUACGAAUAUUUGAAAAUUGGGAUUUUCUAUAAAUAUGAAAAAAAAUCCGAAUAUUGCAAAUGAGGACAGAAUUUCUGGAACUCCAGAAAUUUCUCCCCAUUUCUCUCCCGAGCCCAGCCGCGACCCCCUCCCUUCGUCACCUUCGUUCUUCCUCAUCCGGCCACCGAUUGAUGUGAAACAAAGUGGGUUUUUCUGGUCUCGACCCCCUUUACGAGUUUGUAGAAGAAAUCGAAGUGAAAUACGAGCUGUAUGAGGCUCUACAAGGUCGAGAAGAGAGCCUCGUCGGAGACGAAAUCGCUCUUCCCCACUUUUUCUGGGCUCUACUUUGUCUGGCCAUAUCUUCCUCUACAGGCCUCCGAUCGACCUGAUUCCAAAAGCAAUUUUUCUCACCGUGAAGUUUUCUACAACUUUCCAGAAGACAUCGACUUGAGAUAACCAUCGUGGUGGCCGCUAGAAGACCGAGAAGCCGCACAGCCGAGCUGGAAAUCGUCUUCCUUCGCCACCUUGGUUCUCCCAGCUCCGGCCACUAUAGCUCGAGUUCUUUGAGGGCUUUUCUAGCCCAGAGGAAGUAGAAGCUAUCCCCAAGAAGGCUUGCAGCGAUUUGAUCCGGGGUGAUCGAAUUUUGAAGAUUGGGAAACUAGGGUUCUUCGGGUUUCAAAACUUGCGAGGUGAUUGACGGUCUCCCUUGGGUGAACGAUUUCGGUGUGUAUUGUGUUGAAUUGAAGACGCAGCGGGAAUAUCGAGCGGGUAAUCCUGCAGGUCAGGAGAAUCAGGACGGUGAUCGUGCGGGUUAGAGAAUUUGUUUUAGUUUUACAGCAAUUGUAAUUGUGAGGUGAGUUAUGCUCAUUUGAGCCUUACAAUAUAAUUUGGUGAGAGUGUGCUGUAAUAAACAAAUUUGAGAUUUGGUUUAUGUAAUAUCGAGCGAUGUGAGGUGUGGUUGUUUUGAGAAAAAAUUCAGGUUGUAUUUAUGUGAGUUGUAUUAAUUCAUGUUUCGGAUUUGGAUUUGUUAUUCAAAAUCCGGGGCGUGACAGUUUGGUAUCAGAGCGUAAGGUACAUAUUUGGUGAUAAUCAGUACUCCCCGAGUGAUGGCCCGUCUGCAGCGGAUCCCCAUCGUAUACUCUUCGGUACUGGUAUAAUCAUUGGGUAUGUCUUAGUAUGGGGUCUAGACAGCGUGUAUGUCAGUAGGACGGUAGAGUUGUCUUCUAAGUUCGUAUUAGAAUAAGUUUAGUUUCCGCAGGUUGUAAUCUUUGAGGAAUGGAAACCUCCGGAUUUAACUCUGAUGAGUCAGUGAGGAUUGUUUAUGGAAAUGAGUUUCCUUUUGUAUGUAGAAGUGUUUGGUUGAAGGCAUGGUGUGGACCUAUGCUCGUAUCUGAUGUGGAUACGAGUAUUAAUUGAUAGUAAUUUUGCCUUCUUAAGUUGGACAUACAGAUGCAUUUGAAUAGAUUCUAGACUCAUGUGGAGUUGUGAGUAGUGUUGCGGUUAGGGAAGAAAUUAUUGUGGUUAAUUCUUCCAUGUGCUUGUAAGUUGUUGAGCAGAGUUUGAGGUGCGAGAACGGAGUUUGAUCUCGUGUUUGAGUGAUUGAGACGAACGACUAUAUAUUUGAGUUCUCUCCGAGUACCUAAAAUCUUAAGGGCUAUUUGAAGUGGGACUAGUGGUAGUUUUAGUAUUUCUAAAUUUAAAUCGAGAUCCGAGGAACAUGUUUUGUAUACGUGGUUGAUGUUGCGAGCAUCAUUUUGAUUGAUAUUUUGCGUUUCACAAAGACAACUGGAUUGGAAAUUCUCCGUUUGGACACCUUGGUCUGUUGACCUGACUAUGACUUGUGGACAUAGUUUUAUUUAAGUGAAGGAAAUUGAUUUUGUGAACUAGUUUUCUUAAGUUUUGGAUCGUAGUAUGGAGUUGGACUGAAGUGAAUUUGAGGUUGUUGGUGUUUUAAGUUUACGUAGGCGGGACACUUAAUGUUUUGCAAUGGAGUUGAUUUUGGUCAGUAAAUAAUUGGGAGAGUUAGAAUCAACUCUUUGUAAAAUGAUAUUGGACGAUAGUGUGCGCCUUUGGUGGCUGAUUUUAGAUGAAGUGGUUAAACACAAAUUUGAGUAUUGAUUUUAGUGACUUGUUAGGUAUCCAUAGUGGUUCAAGUGAAUUACUAUGUGAUAUGGAGUGUGAUUCGAUUUCUGAAUCGCUAAAUGUUAAGGAUUGAAUUGUGGUGAGUUUUUGU